This 274-nucleotide ribosomal RNA is filed under the name uncultured bacterium. Its description in RNAcentral is "partial 16S ribosomal RNA". It matches the Rfam family "Bacterial small subunit ribosomal RNA", at positions 523 to 796 of the family's 1533-position model. The record is from RNAcentral.
AUACGGAGGGUGCAAGCGUUAUUCGGAAUCACUGGGCGUAAAGGACGCGUAGGCGGGUUGGCAAGUCAGAUGUGAAAUCCUACAGCUUAACUGUAGAACUGCAUUUGAAACUGCUAACCUAGAGUAUGGGAGGGGGAGAUGGGAUUAGUGGUGUAGGGGUAAAAUCCGUAGAUAUCACUAGGAAUACCGAAAGCGAAGGCGAUCUCCUGGAACAUAACUGACGCUAAGGCGUGAAAGCGUGGGGAGCAAACAGGAUUAGAAACCCUAGUAGUCC